GAAAUUGAUGAUAAAAACUUGGAGAAGACUGCUGUAUUGGAUUACAGGUUCAUAUGUUCUAAGCAAGAGAGAAAAGCCUAAAAUCUAUUUCUCUGUCAUGAUACUGCUCGAAGGGUCAGAUGAAAGUGAGAUCCAUACAUCCUUCUUCAGCAACUUGUGCCUCUGCUCUGCACCUCCCGCAAUUAACUACUGAAAAAAGAACACAGCUUCACAAAAGAGAUUGUAAAAUCAGGAAGUAUAUCUAAGUCACCUCCAGUAGCCGUAACUCUACCUUGUCCAGUAAAAGGUUGUGAAAGAAAAAUAAAUCUUGGGGCUCCAAAAUCACUACGCUAAAGGGAAUAGUCAAGCUAGGAGCUGCUUACAGCAAACCUGCCUCCCAUUCUAUUCAAAGUCACCCCUCUGCUCAGAGAUAAAUGCGUAUCUGAUUGCCUCCUUUGGAGAGGCCAAUCAGAAACUCAAAAGAAUGCAACUAUUCAUCUCUUAUCUACCUAUGACUUGGAAGCCCACUCCCUGCUUCAAGUUGUCCCACCUUUGCUUCAAGUUGUCCAGCCUUUUCUGGACAGAACCAGUGUUUAUCUUACAUAUAUUGACUGAUGUCUCAUGUCUCUCUAAAACAUAUAAAACCAAGCUGUGCUCUUGAAGUGGCCUCAUCGUCUGGGGUGACACCCGAGGUUCGUUGUCUCACGGCCAUAAAGAUAAAGAACAUGGACACAAAAGGGUGAGGUUUAGAGCAGAAAUUUAAUAGGUGAAAGAAAGUGAACAGCUCUCUGCUACAGAGAGGGGUCCCAGAAAAAUGGGUUGCCGAUUCACAGUUUGGAUACAGAGGCUUUUAUAAGAAAUCAAUAGUGGGCUGCUCAUCUCAUUUGCAAAAGGCAUGCAUUUCUGGUAGUUCCACCCCAUCAUCCUCAUGCACGGGCUCUUAGUUUGAGUUAUUCCAUGUUGUUUUGUUACCCUUACUGCACAUGUGUCAAGGGGUGGAAUUUUCCCUUGCAGGCAUGCCUGGGCAAGUCUCUUAUGUAGUCUUUCUUAUCUGUGUGGCUGUGGGGAUGUCUUAGGCAAGCCCCCUGGGAAAGUUCCCUUAUCUGUGCCUGCAACUUGAUUUUUCAGGCUGUUCUUUUGUUUGAAAGAAUUUAACCAAGGACUCGUCUUAAGAAUCUGCCUAAUCCGUUUCUUCCUUUCUCCUGUCUCACCCUAACCAUCUUGGGCACAAGUCAUCAGAACCUCCUGGGGCUAUGUCAUGGGCACACAUCCUCAACCUUGGCAAAAUAAACUUUCUAAAUUAACUGAAACCUGUCUUUGAGUUUCAGGGUCACAAGGGUAAUGGCCAGCCAAUGUUUUUUGAGCCCUAUAAGGGAAUAGGCAAGUCAGAGAGGAGGUGGAAGAGGUCUCAGCAUUCAGCAUCCAGUCUGCAUGUUUAUUUUUCUGUUUGGGGAUGGUAUUCCCACCCUCAGUCACUAAGGGUUUUCAUAGCCCACAAAACCUCUGUUUUUGCGUCUCCAGAGAAUGAAGUGCAAAUGUCUGCUGAGAUAAAAUCAUGUGGUCAGUUAGUCAAGGUGUUGGAAAGAAUUCUAGGCAUCUAGUUUCUUAAAUAACUUCUGACUGACUCUCUGUAGUUUAAUUCUUCCUUCCAGUUAUUCUGUGAUGUUUGAUGUCCCCCGUUCCUGAACCACCUGGAAAUUCUGUGUAUGGAUUGUGUUGUCUCUUGGCUUUUGUCAUUGCUGAUUUAGGAUUUGGCUUUUUGCUUUUGUUUUGCUUUGUUUUGUUCUUUCCUGAUAGGUCAGUUCAAACUUGUAUAUCUGCUUUUCAGAAUCUAAACGUUUGAUGCUGUUGCCUCCUCUCUGUUCCCUCCAUUCUUGCGGGUUUAUGUCUAGUUAAAAACAAUCCAUUUAUAGUAGUUUCAGCGGGGUUUGUAGAGGGAAGAGAUUAGAUGCAUUUUUACUCUGCCACCUGUAUUCUGAAGUCCUCUCUCUGAACUUUUUGAAAUCUGCUUUUCUAAAGCACAGAGCACAUUCUGGUGAGACCCAGGUCUCCCACCUGAUGAUCACAGUCUCUAAGAGUGCAUGUUCAUCACAUCCCAGAGUUCUUGUCUUUUCUACCGCACUGAAUCUGUUCUCUGUGUUUACUUGUAUUGUAG
This 2134-nucleotide long non-coding RNA is filed under the name Homo sapiens (human). RNAcentral's name for it is "HSALNT0018902". Lineage: Eukaryota; Metazoa; Chordata; Mammalia; Primates; Hominidae. The record is from RNAcentral.